This 714-nucleotide ribosomal RNA is filed under the name bacterium B112SSA. Its description in RNAcentral is "partial 16S ribosomal RNA". It matches the Rfam family "Bacterial small subunit ribosomal RNA", at positions 662 to 1375 of the family's 1533-position model. The record is from RNAcentral.
UAGAAUUCCAGGUGUAGCGGUGAAAUGCGUAGAGAUCUGGAGGAAUACCGAUGGCGAAGGCAGCCAUCUGGCCUAACACUGACGCUGAGGUGCGAAAGCAUGGGGAGCAAACAGGAUUAGAUACCCUGGUAGUCCAUGCCGUAAACGAUGUCUACUAGCCGUUGGGGCCUUUGAGGCUUUAGUGGCGCAGCUAACGCGAUAAGUAGACCGCCUGGGGAGUACGGUCGCAAGACUAAAACUCAAAUGAAUUGACGGGGGCCCGCACAAGCGGUGGAGCAUGUGGUUUAAUUCGAUGCAACGCGAAGAACCUUACCUGGCCUUGACAUAGUAAGAACUUUCCAGAGAUGGAUUGGUGCCUUCGGGAACUUACAUACAGGUGCUGCANNNNNNUNGUCAGCUCNNNUCGUGAGAUGUUGGGUUAAGUCCCGCAACGANCGCAACCCUUUUCCUUAUUUNCCAGCGAGUAAUGUCGGGAACUUUAAGGAUACUNCCAGUGACAAACUNGAGGAAGGCGGGGACGACGUCAAGUCAUCAUGNNCCUUACGNCCAGGGNUNCNCACNUGCUACAAUGGUCGGUACAAAGGGUUGNUNCCUAGCGAUAGGAUGCUAAUCUCAAAAANNCGAUNGUAGUCCGGAUUGGAGUNUGCAACUCGNCUCCANGAAGUCGGAAUCGNUNGUAAUCNCGGAUCAGAANNNCGCGGUGAAUACGUUCCC